RNAcentral lists this long non-coding RNA (604 nucleotides) under Mytilus galloprovincialis (Mediterranean mussel). The record is from RNAcentral. Lineage: Eukaryota; Metazoa; Mollusca; Bivalvia; Mytilida; Mytilidae.
GUUUGGGAUAGAGAAAAUAUACAACAGCAAAAUUAGACAAGACACAACCUGAAAAGGAAGGAUUUCUAAUUUGAAAAUUAAUGAAGUUUUUUUUCCAUUGAUCUUUCUGUAUGAUAGUUUUCUGUAUCAAGCUACUAGAUAGAGACAGUUUUUUUCUCAGUCAAGUAGAGUGAGAAUGUAACUACAUCCCAACCUGUUAUUGCAGUUGCCUCAGAAAAUAGUGAUAGAAAAUUAUCUGUGGUCCUUCAAAUUUGACGCAGCUAUCAAGAUACAAAUACAAAACAAAGAACUGUGACUUCUUCUCUUUGUAGAUUACAGGAAAAGUUUAUCUUAUGCAAAAUUUCCUCUCCUUAGGGUGAAUAUGCAUGGUGAACACACAAUAGAGUCUGUAUUAUUUGAUUUACAUUAAGUACAUAUAUAAAUUGAGUGCUUGGUUUUUAAUUGAAGUAUAAACUAUAAUUAGUAAAAAGCUAAAAUAAAAGCUGGCACAGCAUGAAAGAUAUGAAAGGAUGAUUAUUUUAAUUCUUUCAAGAAAACAUUUACAGACUCAACAAAUGAGACUAUUAUGACCACAUUUAAUGUCACUCUAUAUAUGCAAUCUGUA